UACGUAGGGGGCUAGCGUUGUCCGGAUUUAUUGGGCGUAAAGAGCGUGUAGGCGGCCAGGUAGGUCUGGUGUGAAAACUCGAGGCUUAACCUCGAGAUGUCAUCGGAAACCAUUUGGCUAGAGUCCGGAAGAGGAGAGUGGAAUUCCUGGUGUAGCGGUGAAAUGCGCAGAUAUCAGGAAGAACACCAAUGGCGAAAGCAGCUCUCUGGGACGGUACUGACGCUGAGACGCGAAAGCGUGGGGAGCAAACGGAUUAGAUACCCCGGAGUCAGAUCCAAGACCAGUCUGUCGACCGUCAUACACCUCGACCGUGACCCAUUGACCGA
This 326-nucleotide ribosomal RNA is filed under the name uncultured bacterium. Its description in RNAcentral is "partial 16S ribosomal RNA". It matches the Rfam family "Bacterial small subunit ribosomal RNA", at positions 524 to 858 of the family's 1533-position model. The record is from RNAcentral.